CAGUCGCCACGGUAAUACGUAGGGUGCAAGCGUUAAUCGGAAUUACUGGGCGUAAAGCGUGCGCAGGCGGUUAUAUAAGUCAGAUGUGAAAUCCCCGGGCUCAACCUGGGAACUGCAUUUGAGACUGUAUGGCUAGAGUGUGUCAGAGGGGGGUAGAAUUCCACGUGUAGCAGUGAAAUGCGUAGAUAUGUGGAGGAAUACCGAUGGCGAAGGCAGCCCCCUGGGAUAACACUGACGCUCAUGCACGAAAGCGUGGGGAGCAAACAGGAUUAGAUACCCGCGUAGUCCCUGUCUCUUAUAC
This 301-nucleotide ribosomal RNA is filed under the name uncultured bacterium. RNAcentral describes it as "partial 16S ribosomal RNA". It matches the Rfam family "Bacterial small subunit ribosomal RNA", at positions 509 to 807 of the family's 1533-position model. The record is from RNAcentral.